UUUUCCUCCACAAAAAGAUGUGAAACUCAGAAGAUGCAGGUGGUAUAAGAGAUUACAAAUUAUACUGACUGUUUCAGUUUGGUAGAAUGGGAUGAGGAUAUAAGAAAUGGGAAAAAUUUACACAUCUUUUCCUCAACAGCUAACUACGACCCUCAGGGGUCCUUUUCAUACUGCUAUUCCAAAAGAUUAUGUGCUGCAACUUUACAAUUCUAUCCUACAUAAUCCAGCUGCUGUCAUCCAAAUUAAGUGUGUAAAAUGUACCAGGUCAGUCAAAAUUGGGUCCUUCCGAAAUUCUUGUCAGGCUUCUUCUCCAGAUGGGAAACUCUUCUUUUCCACGGAAUUCCCCCAAAGAAAAAAAUAAAGAAAGAAAGAAAUUCUGGUUCAAAGUGCCAGCUAAGGAUGCCACUUGGGAAGAUACCACAUUUAUCCAAAACUCAAUUUCCUGACUUCCAGCAUU
Molecule: unclassified non-coding RNA, 457 nt
Filed under: Hevea brasiliensis (rubber tree)
Lineage: Eukaryota; Viridiplantae; Streptophyta; Magnoliopsida; Malpighiales; Euphorbiaceae
Source: RNAcentral